This 688-nucleotide long non-coding RNA is filed under the name Lathyrus oleraceus (garden pea). RNAcentral describes it as "Pisum sativum (pea) long non-coding RNA (PSAT_LNC012803)". The record is from RNAcentral. Lineage: Eukaryota; Viridiplantae; Streptophyta; Magnoliopsida; Fabales; Fabaceae.
AUUUUUUUCCUCAAGUUGGUCCCUUUCUUUCUAAUUUAAUACAAGUAUUAUUACAUGCUUCCCUCUUUUUUAUACUAUUGUAAGAAGAAAUUAUAGGGAUGCAUUAUUCUAUUCUAUGGGACCAUGAAAUUGAAAAGUCACAACAAUACUCUUAAGGCACGAUUUUAUGGGAUUAAGGUAAGCUUCGUUUUGCACCUUCUUCGAAAAAGGUGUUCAUGGUAAUUUAUCUUAAUGAUGUCAGGCCAAUGACAUCACAAGACGAAAUACAACUCUCAAAUGUGCAAACCGAAUGAAUGUUUUAGAAAUUGAGUCUAGACUGGUUUUAUAAAACUAUUUGAUUUGAGUGAUUUAUUGAAGAAUGAAAUGGAAGAUGACAUAAUAAAUUAGACUCUAAUAUAUUUGAACAACGAUUAUUUGAUCAAAGAUUCAAGUCUUCCAAAAUCUUAGAAAAUCCAAAUAUAAAGGAUUACAUACGUUCACAAAUUUCUAGUUUUUAUAGUUCUUAUAUUGGAUAAUUAUUGACUUAAACGUCAGAGUGUUUGUAGGUAUUAGAGGUAUAUACGAGUUUGGUUGGAUCGAGUUUGAUCUAUGCCUUUAUCAAACCUGCUCAAAUUUUAAUAUGUUGUAUUUUUCGUCCAACCCGCAAUUUCAUUUUCAAAUCUGACCCAAACUUACGCGUUCAUUUGUA